RNAcentral lists this ribosomal RNA (377 nucleotides) under Odontodactylus scyllarus. RNAcentral's name for it is "partial 16S ribosomal RNA". It matches the Rfam family "Bacterial large subunit ribosomal RNA", at positions 1955 to 2532 of the family's 2925-position model. Lineage: Eukaryota; Metazoa; Arthropoda; Malacostraca; Stomatopoda; Odontodactylidae. The record is from RNAcentral.
GGUAGCAUAAUCAUUAGUCUCCUAAUUAGAGGCUUGUAUGAAUGGUCGGACAAGAUGAGAACUGUCUCUAUACAAUAAAUAAAAUUUAAUAUUUAAGUAAAAAAGCUUAAAUGAAAUGGAGGGACGAUAAGACCCUAUAAAGCUUUAUGAUACAACUAUUUCUUAUAAAAUAUCUUUUAAAUCACUUAAUAGAAUGUAUUAUUUUACUGGGGCGGUAAAAGUAUAAUGUAUUAUUAACUGCUUUUGUUUUUAAAAACAAUCAUAAUUGGAAACAAAUUGAUCCAUUAUUAAUGAUCACAAGAACAAGUUACUUUAGGGAUAACAGCGUUAUUUUUCUUGAGAGUCCUCAUCGAAAGAAAAGUUUGCGACCUCGAUGU